Molecule: ribosomal RNA, 497 nt
Filed under: uncultured bacterium
Lineage: Bacteria
Description: partial 16S ribosomal RNA
Rfam family: Bacterial small subunit ribosomal RNA
Source: RNAcentral
GAUGAACGCUGGCGGCGUGCCUAAUACAUGCAAGUCGAGCGAACAGACGAGGAGCUUGCUCCUCUGACGUUAGCGGCGGACGGGUGAGUAACACGUGGAUAACCUACCUAUAAGACUGGGAUAACUUCGGGAAACCGGAGCUAAUACCGGAUAAUAUAUUGAACCGCAUGAUUCAAUAGUAAAAGACGGUUUUGCUGUCACUUAUAGAUGUAUCCGCGCCGCAUUAGCUAGUUGGUAAGGUAACGGCUUACCAAGGCAACGAUGCGUAGCCGACCUGAGAGGGUGAUCGGCCACACUGGAACUGAGACACGGUCCAGACUCCUACGGGAGGCAGCAGUAGGGAAUCUUCCGCAAUGAGCGAAAGCCUGACGGAGCAACGCCGCGUGAGUGAUAAAGGUCUUCGGAUCGUAAAACUCUGUUAUUAGGGAAGAACAAAUGUGUAAGUAACUAUGCACGUCUUGACGGUACCUAAUCAGAAAGCCACGGCUAACUACGUG